CGAUCUGCCUGAUUUGUUGGUAUGCUGUCUAGACGCUAGUUAAUGUCAGUGUGCGUCUUGGAAGAGUGUUGCCAUCGUAUACGCUAAAAGCUGAUUGGCUCCGCCAUCUUUUGCUCAGAUUUCCGGAUUAAUUUGGAAGGGGUAAACAGAUGAUCAGUUGUUUAUUUUUCGUUUACUCUGGUUUAACCUCACUUAACUAGAUAGAUCGAGAAAUAUUAAAUUACUAUUACUAUUAUUCAGGUUGAAAAAUGCCUUCUUCUAAGGUAAAAGGUUGCGAAGUCGAUUGGGGAAAAAUAAUGUGAAAAUGAAUUCUUUCCCAAAAGAAUCUGAACGACGGAAAGUGUGGAUUAAAAAUAUAGGGUUAAAACAAGAUCCAAACAAAUAUGCUGUUGUUUGUGAAGGAGAAAAAAUAUGACUAUGCUCCCUACAAUGAGGCCAGGAAAUGUAUACUUUGGAUAGAGGUAGGUGGGAAAAUCUGUUUUAUUCAGUUAUUGUGAUUUGUUUCUUAGACAAUCGGUUUGUUCUAGCACGAGUUUCAAACGGUCUGAAACCAUUAGCGAAUAGUGGACCAGCGCGAGUAGAGGGGAUAGCACUCGUAACUGUAUUAUGUUCUCUCACUGACCAACUGUUUGCUGACUAGUUCGACUGUUUGCUAGAACAAACCUAUUAUUCAAACAAAAUGUCCUCUACGUCAGACUGAUCAGAAUUUUAAAAAUGUGUCAUAUCAAUCAAAUCAAAAAAUUUAAAAAAUUGUUCCUGUAACCAUUUUUAGUGGAAAUAAUAACAGUACUUAUAUUGGAUCAGAGAGCCACCCAAUUCAUUGUUAAAGUAUGAUAAACUAAAAGUUAAACAAUUAGGCAUGCACUUCAUAUUAUAUUUAAUGAAAUAUAACCCACUGGUACUCAUACAAACUUGACGGCAAGCAAAUUCAACAAAUUUUUCCUCAUUUAUUAGUUUUUCACUACCGUUAAGUUUGGAAACAAGCGCUGUUGCCAAAUAAAAACAUAUACAGUCGGAAAAAUGAAAGAAUACCCAUGAACGAUCACAUCAAUCACAUAUUUUGUAUUUGCUGUUUUUUUUUCAUAAAUAAUAAAUGAGAGAGAUAGAUUAUUAAUAAUCUGAUAAUCUGAAUAAUAUGUGAUUGAUGUGAUCGUUCAUGGGUAUUCUUUCAUUUUUUCGACGGUAUGUAUUUACCACAGCAACUACAGGUGACACUGUUUCUCUUUGUCUUUAAGAGUGUGAAACAAAGAUAACUACAGUGGGAAAAAUAAAGAAUACCCAUGAACGAUCACAUCGAUCACUUAUUUUGUGUUUCCUAUCUUUUUCUAUAACAAACGUUUAUUAUUUAUAGAAAAAGACAACAAACAUAAAUUAAGUGAUUGAUGUGAUCGUUCAUGGGUAUUCUUUCAUUUUUCCAACUGUAUCUGUAAUAUACGCUGAGCUCGUAGGUAGAGGGGAUAAUUAAAAAAUCGCGAGAGCCAAUAGUGACAAGUCUGUAAACCUUUACUGGAAAUUUGAUAUAAAUGUCAAAGUGAAUAAUUUAAAAUUGAAAUUAAAAACAUUAAUUAGAAAAAAUAUUAGUUGGUCAAAGCUGUGGUAUAUAUUUUUAUCUUAAGUAUACUUACGGUUUAAAUACUGAAUUAAGUUUUUUGAAUAUUUUGUAAUAUCUAAUUAUAAUUAGAUAUAAAUCAUCUAAGCGCCAUCUACACGAUAAUUGUGAAUGUAUCUGAAGUAAGAAAUUAAUAUUUCAUUAAGAGAACGUUAAAACAGUUAGCAAAAUUUUUAAAAAAUCGAUUACAAUUUAAUUACUUUUUUGCGUUGUAAAUAUUAAGUGAUAAAAUUAAAUAAUAAAUUUAAAAAUUACUGGUGAAAGUUGAAUUAGUAAUCCGCUAGGAGCGACACCAGCGAAGCUCAGAGCGUAUAAGUGGGUGCAUUUGGAUGACCAUAGCGGCUGACUGUCAGCAGAAAUUGGCUGAGUGGUUGUAUCCAGCUGUGAUAGGGAAAGCUUAGUAAAUCUCUCAGCGGCUGACUUCCAGCGGUGACGUCUGACAGCUACUGCUGGCUCAGCUGUCCAGCCGCUGUGGUCAUCCGAACGCACCCAGUGUCAGUCAUGUUUUCCUAUAGUAUAGAAGGCUUAGAUAGAAGGUUAUGUAAGAUUUUUGUUUGUUUAUUUUUUCUUCUUCUUUUGUGGCCUUUGGAAGCUGUGCCCAUUUAGCCAGCAACAUUUUUUAAAAUUAAUGCCUAACUAAACCUAAAUGCUAAACCUACCAUACAAGAAAACCAUUACGAACCUAAACGACCAAUCAAGGAUACGGAAGGGAAAGUAAAGUUAUUUAAAAAAUAAACCGUUGUUAAAAUAUAAACUAAAUAAAUAAAAUAUAAAUUGAAAACAAUAAUUUGACAUUAUAAAUGUAACCUCCAAUAUUAUGACAGACGUCAGUUACCAUGACAUCAUAUAUUAUACUCGUCACUAAUUCUAGCCAAUGAAAUGCUUGCUGUAAUAGGAAUGGCAUAUCAAAAAAAUCUGACUAUUCUCUAUAUAUUUUUUCAAAUUUAGAAUAUGGCAACAAGGGGAAAGUUAUGUGCAUUCCUCAUUGUUUGACUUUUCCUAUAUCUUUAGUAUCAGGUCAUCGUACAAUACAAAUACUUCCUGCAAUGAUUAGAAGUAAUGCAGAACAAGAAUUGAAUUUGGAAUCGCUGAGAAAAAGGAUUGGUGUACAAAAUAAGAAAGUAUAUAAAGGACAACAAACAUCUUCCAUAAGCGAUCAAAAUUGUAUAACUGAAAUUCAGGAAAUAGAUUGCUCCUCCACCUUUAGGUAUAAAAAAUAUUUUGACAUUUUUUUUAUUUAAUACACAAUUUAAUUUACCAUCUCAUCAUGAAGCUAUAAGUAAAUGGUGUGAAUGUUGAACACAUGAGGGAGAAGCUGCCAUGUGGCAACUCUCCUGUAUAAUAUAUUUUAUAUUAGUUCACAUAAAUAGUUAAUUUAUUAAGUCUGUUGGCCAUGGUUUCUUCAGUCACCUUUCAAAUCCAGGAGGGGUAUUUAGCAGUCUUGAUUCGUUACUUGGAUGAUCCGUUGUCCAUCAAGGAAGUUUCUUGUGAUUAUUCUAAUUUCUUCCUCUACCAAGGAUGUGGCAGAGUUAUCUUGUAUAGGGUUUUGUUCAAGUGUAAACACUUUUUUGCGCCAGUCCAGAGCUGUCUGCCAGCGCUGUCUUGAAUAGAAAGGUGGUCUAUUUUUCAUGCCACUGGCAUUCCAGUGAGACUGGCACCAGUUUCUGGAUACAUGUAAAUGUUACUUUAUUUUAUGUAAAUAUUAUUUUCAUUCUAGAAUCAAAGGGAGACUCUUUUAACAGGUAAAUGACGCUAUCAUUCUUUUUGUUCUAGAAAAACUGUAAAUAGUAUUUAAGGCAACUAUUGUGAAUGAGUGAGAAGUCUAAUAAAGCCACGAUGAGAUACUGUAUUAGAGCGUACGAUUUGGAGGUAUUUUUGAUUAGAUACAUUUUGUAAAGUACAAUAUAAAUUAGAUUUGAUAAUGUGUAGUAUUUCCUAAUAAAUUAAAUACUAUUAAGUGUUUAUUGUUCUUGUAAGUUAGUGUGGUAAAUAAAUAAUAUGAAGUAAG
Molecule: long non-coding RNA, 3617 nt
Organism: Diabrotica virgifera virgifera (western corn rootworm)
Lineage: Eukaryota; Metazoa; Arthropoda; Insecta; Coleoptera; Chrysomelidae
Exons: 2
Source: RefSeq, a predicted model, not a curated record